RNAcentral lists this ribosomal RNA (478 nucleotides) under uncultured bacterium. RNAcentral describes it as "partial 16S ribosomal RNA". It matches the Rfam family "Bacterial small subunit ribosomal RNA", at positions 28 to 507 of the family's 1533-position model. The record is from RNAcentral.
GAUGAACGCUAGCGGCGUGCCUAACACAUGCAAGUCGAACGGAGUCCAGCCUUUAAGACCUUCGGGUCAAAGAGGGGAAGACUGAGUGGCGGACGGGUGAGUAACACGUGGGCAACCUGGCUCAUAGAGGGGGAUAACAGAGAGAAAUUUCUGCUAAUACCGCAUAAGCACACACUGCCGCAUGGCAGAGGGUGAAAAGAGAAUCGCUAUGAGAUGGACCCGCGUCUGAUUAGCCAGUUGGCAGGGUAAGAGCCUACCAAAGCGACGAUCAGUAGCCGAUCUGAGAGGAUGAACGGCCACAUUGGGACUGAGACACGGCCCAAACUCCUACGGGAGGCAGCAGUGGGGGAUAUUGCACAAUGGGGGGAACCCUGAUGCAGCGACGCCGCGUGAGUGAAGAAGUAUUUCGGUAUGUAAAGCUCUAUCAGCAGGGAAGAUAAUGACAGUACCUGAAUAAGAAGCCCCGGCUAACUACGUG